UAUAUCAGCAGUUUUUUUUCAUUUCUAAGGAUCUGAAAGUUUUAAUUAUUUCUGCUGGGCUAACAACGCUGAAUUUGAAAUUUUGUAUACAUUCCUUAACAUUUUCCAAAAGAAGUGACUCGGCAACACUGGUGGAGGAGACAAGGGUGCUUGAGAUGGAAACUGGAAUGUCAGAAAAAAAUUCUCAAAAGCAGAAGCUACUUCCUACUCAGAGUGGAUUUUUGCAUUGUUUAUUAUUAGAUUAUAUUCAAACUUGCAGUCUUUCGCUCUUCCAGAUUCCCAGUUAAUAACUUUCCAAGUCAUUUUUAUUUUAUUUGAAGCAUUUUUAAUUAUUUCUCUAAUAUGCAUUGACUUAGCAAUAGUACAUACUUUCUUAAAUAAAUAAAGCAUUUAAACUUUAAAUAUAUAAAACGACAGCGAAACAACGCACUUAAUGAAAGAGAUGACAUAACAAUAUGGCGGCGAAAAUAUUUGAAAUCUAUUAAAGACUAUAGAUAACAAAAUCGCCAGAUAAUUUACAUGGGUGAAUGCAGGUUAGUGUGUUUUUUUUUAUUGCAGUGAAACGGCAGACUACCAUACGGUUCGCCUGAUUGUAAGCAAAUACCGUCGCCUUUACCGUCAAGUGAUGUGUAUGAUACUGCAAAUCUAUUUGCAAAAUAUAACCCACGCGCCUCCGACCUUGAGACGUUAGUUCUUAAGGGCUAUCACAAGACAUACCGUAAAUAAAACUUGGGUAGACAAACAAGUUAAAAGUAAGAAGCAGGCUUUCCUAGAAGGACUUAGCAUUGGUGCACGUAACCCAACGUCAAAAGGUAAACGAUUAAUAAUUGCCCAUAUCGGCAAUGAGAACGGUUUUGUAAAGGGCGGUGAAAAUAUAUUUGAAUGCAAGAAGACGGGAGAUUACCAUGAAUCAAUGGAUGAAACACAUUUUGAACAAUGGUUUGAAAACGUUCUCCCAAAACUUGGAAAAAAUGCAGUAGUGGUAAUGGACAAUGUACCAUACCACUCAAGGCGUCUUAAAAGAAUUCCUAGUACUGCCUGGAAAAAAAAUGAUAUACAAAAUUGGCUUGUAAGUAAGAAUAUUUCUUACGACGACAAUGAAAUUAAGACAGAAUUACUGCUAAAAGUAAAAAAUGUUAAAGACAAUUUUAAAACAUAUGUGGACGAGCUCGCAAAAAAAUAUAAGGUGGAAGUAUUGAGACUCCCGCCAUAUCAUUGUGAGCUUAAUCCAAUUGAGCUAAUUUGGGCCAACGUAAAAGGAUAUGUUGCUCGCAAAAAUACAAAUUUUAAAUUUGACGAGGUAAAACAGUUAUUACAAGAGGGACUCCAACAGAUUACUUCGGAAAAUUGGAAGCGUUGUCUGGAGCAUGUUAUCAAGGAAGAAGAUAAUUUUUAUUCCAAAAUCGAUGAGGUGAUUGAUAAAACUGUAGACAGCUUCGUGAUACAUGUCACUGAUUCUGACACAGAAAUGGAAACAUCUGAAUCUGACGAAUAAAAAAAAAAAAAUCUUAAAUAAUACAUGUUAAUUAAUAUUUGUUACUUAAUAAUUUAUUAAAUCUUAAACAAAU
This is a long non-coding RNA of Leptidea sinapis, 1568 nucleotides long. RefSeq lists it as uncharacterized. The record is from RefSeq and is a predicted model, not a curated record. NCBI's taxonomy places the organism in Eukaryota, Metazoa, Arthropoda, Insecta, Lepidoptera, Pieridae. The transcript has 2 exons.